AUUUGCAUGCCCAUGUGGCUCUCUCCCAAGGCUCCCAUGAAGGGCCCAAGACUGGGAGUGGAUGGCCUGCUGAAGGCCGGCCAUGUUGUCUGGCAGGGAGGGGACUAUGAGCAAGCACAGUGUGUUUGAAAAUAAUUCUGACAAGAAAUCCAGGAAGAGUAGUGGACCAAGAAUCACCUGGACACUUUUCAGUCUUCAUUCUUUGGUUCUUGCUCUAAGUAUAUAUAGAAGUUUGAAUUACCGGCUCAGGUUCUGAAGAUUGUUCCGGAACCUCUGGAGAUGAAAGAUUCCGCCAAUGAAUCUGAGCAGGAGUCUCAAGAAUCAGAAUUUCCGAUUGAG
Alosa sapidissima (American shad) is the source of this 339-nucleotide long non-coding RNA. RefSeq lists it as uncharacterized. The record is from RefSeq and is a predicted model, not a curated record. Lineage: Eukaryota; Metazoa; Chordata; Actinopteri; Clupeiformes; Clupeidae. The transcript is spliced from 3 exons.